Molecule: long non-coding RNA, 316 nt
Filed under: Phoenix dactylifera (date palm)
Lineage: Eukaryota; Viridiplantae; Streptophyta; Magnoliopsida; Arecales; Arecaceae
Description: long non-coding RNA (PDAC_LNC009697)
Source: RNAcentral
AAGUGCUUGUACAAGUAAUUAAUUAUUGGCCAUGCCUAAGAAUACAUCUUCAAUUACAUGCUGUAUCCUCCAGUUCUCUGUGAUCAAGAAAUUUUAGUUUCGUCUCAAGCUGACUAAGUUUUCAUUCAAAGGAAGGUUUUUCUUUGUCAGAUCCUUUAUUUAUGUGUGAGCCCUUUGCUUUGAAAAAUAUGUUUGAUCAGUGUAAACUGAACCACUUGCUAAGAAUUUUCAUUGAAGUUGUUAGGUACAUUGUUUAGGGUGGGUGAUUCUUAGGGUGCUGGCUCUUUGAUCUAGUCUAUGUCGAUUGUCACAUGUG